Dreissena polymorpha is the source of this 238-nucleotide long non-coding RNA. RefSeq lists it as uncharacterized. The transcript has 2 exons. Lineage: Eukaryota; Metazoa; Mollusca; Bivalvia; Myida; Dreissenidae. The record is from RefSeq and is a predicted model, not a curated record.
CUACAUGAUGUCUAGGCCAAGUUCCAACAUGGGCCUUGCCGGGUCAAAAACUAGGUCACGGGGUCACUUAGUGCGUUUUUUAACAUUCAGCAUGGUGUCCUCUCUCUUAUUCAAGUAGUUUUCAUCCGAUCUUCACCAAACUUGGUCAGAAGUUUUAUCUAGAUGAUCUGAAGGCCAAGUUCGAACAUGGGCCAUGCCAGAUCAAAAACUAGGUCACAGGGUCACUUAGUACGUUUUA